Molecule: ribosomal RNA, 430 nt
Filed under: Pseudomonadota bacterium
Lineage: Bacteria; Pseudomonadati; Pseudomonadota
Description: Proteobacteria bacterium partial 16S ribosomal RNA
Rfam family: Bacterial small subunit ribosomal RNA
Source: RNAcentral
UGGGGAAUAUUGGACAAUGGGGGGAACCCUGAUCCAGCCACGCCGCGUGUGUGAAGAAGGCCUUAUGGUUGUAAAGCACUUUAAGCGAGGAGGAGGGUACUGGUAUUAAUACUACCAGCUACUGGACGUUACUCGCAGAAUAAGCACCGGCUAACUCUGUGCCAGCAGCCGCGGUAAUACAGAGGGUGCGAGCGUUAAUCGGAUUUACUGUGCGUAAAGCGUGCGUAGGCGGCUAAUUGAGUCGGAUGUGAAAUCCCCGAGCUUAACUUGGGAAUUGCAUUCGAUACUGGUUAGCUAGAGUGUGGGAGAGGAUGGUAGAAUUCCAGGUGUAGCGGUGAAAUGCGUCGAGAUCUGGAGGAAUACCGAUGGCGAAGGCAGCCAUCUGGCCUAACACUGACGCUGAGGUACGAAAGCAUGGGGAGCAAACAGG